GAUGAAGAACGUAGCAAAAUGCGAUAAGUAAUGUGAAUUGCAGAAUUCAGUGAAUCAUCGAAUCUCUGAACGCACAUUGCGCCCGCUGGUAUUCCGGCGGGCAUGCCUGUUCGAGCGUCAUUUCAACCCUCAAGCCCCCGGGUUUGGUGUUGGGGAUCGGCUCUGCCCUUCUGGGCGGUGCCGCCCCCGAAAUACAUUGGCGGUCUCGCUGCAGCCUCCAUUGCGUAGUAGCUAACACCUCGCAACUGGAACGCGGCGCGGCCAUGCCGUAAAACCCCAACUUCUGAAUGUUGACCUCGGAUCAGGUAGGAAUACCCGCUGAACUUAAGCAUAUCAAUAAGCGGAGGA
Molecule: unclassified non-coding RNA, 348 nt
Filed under: soil metagenome
Description: partial contains 5.8S ribosomal RNA, internal transcribed spacer 2, and large subunit ribosomal RNA
Rfam family: 5.8S ribosomal RNA (bases 1-120)
Source: RNAcentral